Molecule: long non-coding RNA, 219 nt
Filed under: Ricinus communis (castor bean)
Lineage: Eukaryota; Viridiplantae; Streptophyta; Magnoliopsida; Malpighiales; Euphorbiaceae
Description: long non-coding RNA (RCOM_LNC000789)
Source: RNAcentral
AAUUAUUGGAUGACACAAGACCUAUAAUAGAAGAAGAAACACUCUGAGAAGAGGCAUUAACAUUAGUACUAAGAGAAUAAGAGCUAAUAGGAGCAGUAAUAGAAAAAUCUAAAUCAAUAGUUGGAUUGUUUAUUGGAGAGAAAGAAUUAGUAGAAGUCACUAGGGGAGAAGUUGCAAAAGGAAAAAAAUAAUAAGGAACAAAAGAGAAUGAAGAGGAAG